RNAcentral lists this small RNA (1624 nucleotides) under Pongo abelii (Sumatran orangutan). RNAcentral describes it as "processed transcript". Lineage: Eukaryota; Metazoa; Chordata; Mammalia; Primates; Hominidae. The record is from RNAcentral.
GGCGCUGGCUGCUGCGGUGCAGAUGGCGGAAAUGGAUCCGGUAGCCGAGUUCCCCCAGCCUCCCGGUGCUGCGCGCUGGGCUGAGGUUAUGGCUCGCUUCGCGGCCAAGCUGGGCGCGCAGGGCCGGCGGGUGGUGUUGGUCACGUCAGGCGGCACCAAGGUCCCACUGGAAGCGCGGCCGGUGCGCUUCCUGGACAACUUCAGCAGCGGGCGGCGCGGUGCAACCUCGGCCGAGGCCUUCCUAGCCGCUGGCUAUGGGGUCCUGUUCUUGUAUCGCGCUCGCUCCGCCUUCCCCUAUGCCCACCGCUUCCCACCCCAGACUUGGCUGUCUGCUCUGCGGCCUUCGGGUCCAGCCCUUUCGGGCUUGCUGAGCCUGGAGGCUGAGGAGAAUGCACUUCCGGGUUUUGCUGAGGCUCUGAGGAGCUACCAGGAGGCUGCGGCUGCAGGCACCUUCCUGGCGGUAGAGUUCACCACUUUGGCGGACUAUUUGCAUCUGUUGCAGGCUGCGGCCCAGGCACUCAAUCCGCUAGGUGCGUGCCCUAAGAGUACCCCUUUUGCCUGGAAGCACAGCCUUUCUCUCCAGAUACUUAUCCCCUUAUCUCCCGCUUACCCACGGAUCUCAGCUGGGGAACGCGAGUUGAGAAGGAGCUGAUCCUAUAUCGUACCUCGCCGAUUUGUUAACACCUUGUGUUUCUCUUUGCAGGCCCUUCUGCGAUGUUUUACCUGGCUGCGGCUGUGUCAGAUUUCUAUGUUCCUGUCUCUGAAAUGCCUGAACACAAGAUCCAGUCAUCUGGGGGCCCACUGCAGAUAACAAUGAAGAUGGUGCCAAAACUGCUUUCUCCUUUGGUUAAAGAUUGGGCCCCCAAAGCAUUUAUAAUUUCCUUUAAGUUGGAGACUGACCCCGCCAUUGUAAUUAAUCGAGCUCGGAAGGCUUUGGAAAUUUAUCAGCAUCAAGUGGUGGUGGCUAAUAUCCUUGAGUCACGACAGUCCUUUGUGUUUAUUGUAACCAAAGACUCAGAAACCAAGUUAUUGCUAUCAGAGGAAGAAAUAGAAAAAGGCAUAGAGAUAGAAGAGAAGAUAGUGGAUAAUCUUCAGUCUCGACACACAGCUUUUAUAGGUGACAAAAACUGAAGUAAAAAGCCCUUAUAGGAUCAGAAAUUGUUCAGGGCUCUUAGAGAUGGUGAAAACUACAAAAAAACCAUGGCUUUCAUAUGGACAGAGAAAAUGAAAGAAAGGGAAAAGGCAGUGGUGUGCAGGCAAAUACGUUUGGCAUUUGUCUUUUAAUGACACCUGAUAAUGCUCACCUGAUGUCAUUUUGAUUUUGAAAUUGAACACUAGAACUGUUAAUCACCUUUAAAAAGAAGAGCUUAUUGGGAAUUAUAUAUUCCUUAAAAUAUACAUGGGGGCCUGAAUAUCAGCCAUCUUUAUACUAUAAAAAGAGGAUUAUGGAUGCAUGAAUGGUCAUGCUUUGGAGAUCAAAUAUUGGUUGAAUGCCUAUGUAUGUCAGGCCCUGUGCUGAGCCAUGAGGAUUAAAAAGAUGAAUAAACAUAUCUUGUUUAGGAGAUGGAUGUAUAAAAAAAUCAAGUGCAAUAAAGUGUGUGUCCAAAAGCCGACACAAUGGAAA